This 391-nucleotide ribosomal RNA is filed under the name uncultured Pseudomonas sp. Its description in RNAcentral is "bacterial SSU rRNA". It matches the Rfam family "Bacterial small subunit ribosomal RNA", at positions 1003 to 1382 of the family's 1533-position model. The record is from RNAcentral. Lineage: Bacteria; Pseudomonadati; Pseudomonadota; Gammaproteobacteria; Pseudomonadales; Pseudomonadaceae.
GAAACGUAGGGGGUGCUUCCAUCUGGAAGAAUCUGGAGACAGGUGCUGCAUGGCUGUCGUCAGCUCGUGUCGUGAGAUGGUUGGGUUAACGUCCCGCAACGAGCGCCAACCCUUGCCUUUAGUUGCCAGCAGUUCGGCGUGGGCACUCGUAAAGGGACUGCCGGUGUUAAACCGGAGGAAGGUGGGGAUGACGUCAAGUCCUCAUGGCCUUUAUGACCAGGGCUACACACGUGCUACAAUGGUCGGUACAAAGGGUUGCCAAGCCGCGAGGUGGAGCUAAUCCCAUAAAACCGAUCGUAGUCCGGAUCGCAGUCUGCAACUCGACUGCGUGAAGUCGGAAUCGCUAGUAAUCGUGAAUCAGAAUGUCACGGUGAAUACGUUCCCGGGCCUU